This is a non-coding RNA of Saccharata proteae CBS 121410, 84 nucleotides long. Lineage: Eukaryota; Fungi; Ascomycota; Dothideomycetes; Botryosphaeriales; Saccharataceae. The record is from the annotation of a GenBank genome assembly.
UCACAUAGGCUCAGUGGUAGAGCGCCCGCUUUGCAACCAUUCAUUGAAUGCGGGAGGUCGAGGUUUCGAUCACCUCAUCGUCCA